Long non-coding RNA from Cloeon dipterum, 688 nucleotides. RefSeq lists it as uncharacterized. The record is from RefSeq and is a predicted model, not a curated record. Lineage: Eukaryota; Metazoa; Arthropoda; Insecta; Ephemeroptera; Baetidae. The transcript is spliced from 2 exons.
UUGCAAGUGGCGCUGACAGGGUCGACCGACGUCCAGCCUCAGCACCAGGUUAUCGACGUCGGAGAGGCGGCCGUGUUCAGGUGACAAUAAUUUUAGACACGUGAUUAGCUGUUGCGUGAGGAGCUCGCUGACCUGUCGAGGGUUGACCCUGAUCGGCAGAAGCAGGAAGCAGCCUUUGGGCCCUCCGAUCCGGCUCGACACGUCCUCAGACAGACACACCUCCGGUCCGGCGGCCGCCUUGGCGAGACAUUCGCGCCGCACGCGUUUUUGCUUCGCUUCUUUUGAAUUAUGUUGAAAAAACCCUGAGCGGAUGUUGAACAAUGGCGAAAACGUUGGCGUAGUGUGAAAAUGGUCGGCGGCGUUGAACAAAUCGCGAAAAGUUUCACUAGAAUCGAUCUCAGGAUGCGGUAACCUGUCAAAGGUCGUCAGUAUAUAAAUUUUUUGGCUAUUUCUUAAAAUUAUUUUUAUAAUCUGUGUUUGUAAUAUUUUAAUCGCACGCGUAAUUAAAUUUUAGAUAAUUUUCCAGUUAAAAAUGCAAGUUUGUCAUGUUUCAAGGAAGGAAAUCACAAAUUACAGCUGAAAAUCCGGUUGUUAAAUUGAUCAAUACAAAUAAAUACACGUGUAUUAAAGAAUUUAGAUAAAGGCUUCAUUAAUUACCAUCGACUCUUUCAAUGGGAACAUCGCAUAA